AGAUUCAACCAACCAUGAAUUCAACCAACUGCAGAUCGUGCAGUACUGUAGUAUGUAUUUAUUGAAAAAACUUCAUGUAUUAAGCGGAUCAGCGCGGCUCUAACCUGUGUCAUUCAAGGGUCAACUGCAGACCCUAGUCUAUUCUUACAUAGGCCUAAGGUCUCCCACAAUGGAAUGUCAACCCAAAAGGAAUUUCUAACUUGUUCAUCGCCGUACAGUGCCUGGCACUUAGCGCUCAUUUGUUGAAUGAAUGCUAAAUAAAUUGAAAUGAUGCCAUUUUUAAAAGUUAAUAACAAAGUAUCGAUUAUCUACUAUAAAUUCUAAGUGAUGAUAUUUAGGCUUAGAUUGGUAAGAAUAAACAACACUUUACAAAAUAAAAAUCAAUUUGGAAUACCUG
Long non-coding RNA from Aethalodelphis obliquidens (Pacific white-sided dolphin), 397 nucleotides. RefSeq lists it as uncharacterized. NCBI's taxonomy places the organism in Eukaryota, Metazoa, Chordata, Mammalia, Artiodactyla, Delphinidae. The record is from RefSeq and is a predicted model, not a curated record. The transcript is spliced from 2 exons.